Molecule: ribosomal RNA, 576 nt
Filed under: Escherichia coli
Lineage: Bacteria; Pseudomonadati; Pseudomonadota; Gammaproteobacteria; Enterobacterales; Enterobacteriaceae
Also listed under: 1 other name
Description: bacterial SSU rRNA
Rfam family: Bacterial small subunit ribosomal RNA
Source: RNAcentral
CCUCUUGCCAUCGGAUGUGCCCAGAUGGGAUUAGCUAGUAGGUGGGGUAACGGCUCACCUAGGCGACGAUCCCUAGCUGGUCUGAGAGGAUGACCAGCCACACUGGAACUGAGACACGGUCCAGACUCCUACGGGAGGCAGCAGUGGGGAAUAUUGCACAAUGGGCGCAAGCCUGAUGCAGCCAUGCCGCGUGUAUGAAGAAGGCCUUCGGGUUGUAAAGUACUUUCAGCGGGGAGGAAGGGAGUAAAGUUAAUACCUUUGCUCAUUGACGUUACCCGCAGAAGAAGCACCGGCUAACUCCGUGCCAGCAGCCGCGGUAAUACGGAGGGUGCAAGCGUUAAUCGGAAUUACUGGGCGUAAAGCGCACGCAGGCGGUUUGUUAAGUCAGAUGUGAAAUCCCCGGGCUCAACCUGGGAACUGCAUCUGAUACUGGCAAGCUUGAGUCUCGUAGAGGGGGGUAGAAUUCCAGGUGUAGCGGUGAAAUGCGUAGAGAUCUGGAGGAAUACCGGUGGCGAAGGCGGCCCCCUGGACGAAGACUGACGCUCAGGUGCGAAAGCGUGGGGAGCAAACAGGAUU